Molecule: ribosomal RNA, 466 nt
Filed under: uncultured bacterium
Lineage: Bacteria
Description: partial 16S ribosomal RNA
Rfam family: Bacterial small subunit ribosomal RNA
Source: RNAcentral
CUACGGGGCGCAGCAGUGGGGAAUAUUGGACAAUGGGGGAAACCCUGAUCCAGCAAUGCCGCGUGUGUGAAGAAGGCCUGCGGGUUGUAAAGCACUUUCGGUUGGGAGGACUGCUUCUAGCACUAAUAUUGUUGGAAGUUGACGUUACCUUCAGGAGAAGCACCGGCUAACUCCGUGCCAGCAGCCGCGGUAAUACGGAGGGUGGCAAGCGUUAAUCGGAAUUACUGGGCGUAAAGCGCGCGUAGGCGGCUAGAUCAGUCGGGUGUGAAAGCCCCGGGCUUAACCUGGGAACUGCAUCCGAUACUAUCUAGCUUGAGUACAGGAGAGGGGAGUGGAAUUCCACAUGUAGCGGUGAAAUGCGUAGAUAUGUGGAGGAACACCAAUGGCGAAGGCAGCUCUCUGGCCUGAUACUGACGCUGAGGUGCGAAAGCGUGGGGAGCAAACAGGAUUAGAUACCCCAGUAGUC